RNAcentral lists this long non-coding RNA (359 nucleotides) under Lathyrus oleraceus (garden pea). RNAcentral's name for it is "Pisum sativum (pea) long non-coding RNA (PSAT_LNC027319)". The record is from RNAcentral. Lineage: Eukaryota; Viridiplantae; Streptophyta; Magnoliopsida; Fabales; Fabaceae.
AACCAUCUUCUACCUACACCAAAACUGAACCCAUAACAUCCAUUCCCAAUCCCUAUGAACCUAACAACUCUAACCUCCCCUUACCCCCUCCAACUAUUUAAUAUCACCGCCACAACACUUCUCGUUUAUGAGGCCUUACUUCUGAAUGAACCCAUUUCACCUCUCUCUUCAACUCCCUCAUCAGCACCUUACUAUGACCUAUCCUCUGACUCUGACCAUCCAGAAACCACUUAUCCUCUAUCUCUAACAUUGUUUUAACUCCAAGCCAUCGUACUGUCUGAUCAAACCCCAUAUAUGCCAGAAACCUCAAUGCCUUCCCCAUAUGAACAUCCAACAAAACCAUAAUCUGAACCUCAAAC